RNAcentral lists this long non-coding RNA (4088 nucleotides) under Heterocephalus glaber (naked mole-rat). RNAcentral describes it as "lncRNA (ENSHGLG00000049068.1)". Lineage: Eukaryota; Metazoa; Chordata; Mammalia; Rodentia; Bathyergidae. The record is from RNAcentral.
AAUCAUGAGAGAAUAUGGAAGAAUGUAUCUCAACAGAAGAGCAGAUAUAAAAAUGAGAAAUGGGGUGCUGGGGAUUUAGCGCAGUGGUUCCGCCACCUGCCUCGCAAGUGCAAGGUCCUGAGUUCAAUCCCUGGUACCAAAAAAAAAAAAGAGAGAGAAAUAGGAAGGGAUCAAACUUGUGAAUACAGUAAACAAUCAAACUUUUUUUCUAGUCUCUUAAAAAUGUGUAGUACUGUAUUGUUUUUUUUGUUGUUGUUCUUUUUAUUGGUACAUUUUAGGUAUACAGUUCAUUUACAUUUAUCAUUGGGUGCUUGUGCCUGUAUAACCAUGAUAUAUCUUGGUUCUUAUUUUUCCCCAUUACCUUCACGCCCUCCGCCCUUCCCUAUUUACAGAGAUUUAAUUUCCAUUUUCUUUUCUCUUCUCAUAGUUUUUCCUUUCCCUCUUUUCCUUUCCCCUUCCCCUCCCUUCACUCCUUUGUCUUUGGGCCUUUUUUCCUAUUUCAAAUUAUCAUUUAUUCAUUUUAAUCAUUUUAACCCUUGUUUACACUAUCAGUUUCUCACACUAGUGAAACUAUUCGGUAUUUACACAUGUGUGUCCUGUUUAUUUCACUUAAGAGUAUGGCCGCCUCAAUAUGCAUCCAUUUAGCUAUAAAUGACUCUAGUUUUUCAUUCUUUAUGGCUGAGUAGUACUCCAUUUUAUUAAAAAACUCACAUUUUCUUUAUCCAGUUUCCAGCUGAUGGGCACUUGGGCUGUUUCCAAGUUUUAGCUAUUACAAACUGUGCCGCUAUGAACAUGGGUGCACAUAUAUCACUGUGGUAUGAUUCUUUUAAUUCUUUUGGGAAGAUACCCAGCAGGGGAAUAGCUGGGUCAUAUGGGACUCUAGUCCUAGUUCUUUGAGGUGUCUCCAUACUGAUUUCCACAGUGGUUGCACCAGUCUGCACUCCCACCAACAAUGGAGAAGGGUUCCUUUCUCCCCACACCCCCGCCAGCAUUUGUUAUUGAUUGAUUUCAUGAUAGCAGCCAUUCUUUGUGGGGUGAGGUGGAAUCUCAGUGUUGUUUUCAUCUGCAUCUCUCGAAUGACAAGUGAUGUUGAACAUUUUUUCAUAUAUUUGUUUGCUGCUUUUACUUCCUUGUCUGAGAAAUGUCUGUUCAUUUCAGAUGCCCAUUUAUGAAUUGGGUCUUUGAAUUUGGGGGUCUGAUUUUUUCAAUUCUUUAUAUAUUCUAGAUAGUAGGCCUUUGUCUGAGGUACAGCUGCUAAAAAUUUUUUCCUAUAUUGUAGGUUGUCUGUUAGCUCUGUUGGUGGUUUCUUUUGCAGUGCAGAAGCUUUAUAAUAAGAUGAGAUCCCAGUUGUUGAUUCUUUCUGCUAGUUCCCGUGCUGCUGAGGUUUUGUUCAUGAAGUCUUUUCCUAUGCCAGUGUCUUCAAGAGUUCUACCUAGCUUAUCUUCCAGCAAGUUUAGUGUUUCUGUUUUAAUAUUUAGUUCUUUAAUCCACUUCGAUCUUAGUUUAGUGCAUGGUGAUAGGUAUGGGUCUAGUUUCAAUCUCUGGCAGGUUGAAAAGGCACACAGACAGGUCUGCGGAUGCCAUAGCAACCAGGAGAGGACUGUCCAGCUCAGUGUGUCCUGUGAGUGCCGAGCCGGUAUACUGGGUUUCCUGGGUUGGAGUCUUCAUCCUCACGCCUGGAGGCUGUGAGACAGCAGUGAGAAGAGGAGCUUCACAUUACCCGCAGGGCUCCCUGAGCUGAUCAGCACUGGAGAAGGGGUGGCAAUGCACAUUCCAGGGAUUUUCCUAGAACUCAUCUGCGACUAAACGGCAGGCCUUGGCUCACACAGCUUCAUUUUUCUAUUUCAAACGGCAGGUUGAAAGUUCUGGAAAACAAGGCAAAUGGCUAUUAGAGCUGUACGCUUCAAGGCGCUCCCUUUCUUCCUGCUGCCCCUUCGUGCCAGGCUGCUAUUAGGUUCCAAGGACACAGCUGUGGGCCAGAGGCCAGGACCCAUAAGUGCUUACAGUCUGCAGGAAGGGGGUGGAGACCUUGUGUGUCAACACGUGUCCCCUCAGUGGGGAACAGGGUAGUGCAUGGAGCAGGUGAUAGUGGCAGGUGGCAGGCAGUGAGGACGUGCCUCACUGGGACAGUCCCCCUGGCCUCAGACGAGGGAGAGAAGACAGCUGUGUACAAGGGGGACAGCGCUCCAGACCACGGGAGUGGCAGGGACAAAGGGCCUUGGCCUGGUCUAGAACGAGAGGGUGAAGGCAGGUGGCACUCAUGGAUGGUGAGCAGGGGAGAGGGUCUGCCAAGGGCACAGCCAAGGGCUGCCAUCGUUAUUCAAGAUCAUGGCUUUAAGUUCCGACCAAGGGACAGACCUGUCACUGAGUGCGUGGCUACCAGGGUGUAAGCAGGUGUCAAUGAUCGUGAAAGGGGCUGCUAAUGUAGAGGCUUAAAAAUCUCCAUUCUUGGUGAAUUCGUAUCAUUGUCCCUAGCGCUUGGCAUCUGUGCUAAACAGGCCAGACUCCAGGUCACCAUGCCCUCCCUGCUCUGUAGUGGGGUCCAUGCGGGCUUCCGCCUCCACACAAGUGGCAGCCUCGCUGGUGAACACCCACGGGGCUGCCGCCUUGAGCUGGGCCAGAAGAACAGAGACACAGACACCAGUGGGGCAGAGACGGUCAUAACUUCACUUUUUUUAGACAAGGUCUCACUGCAUAGUUCAGGCUGGUCCUGAGCUCACUAUGUAGCCCAGGCUGGCCUGGAACUCCAGAUAAUUAAUUCCCCUGCCUCUGUCUCCCGAGUGCUGGCACUGCAGGCUUGUGCCACCAUGCCCGGCUCCAACUCUACUUUUUACUUUUUACUUUUGAGGGGAUCCGUGGUCAGUGCGGAGCCCUCGGCCCUAGUACUGCAUUUCUGGCUCUGUGCAGGUGCUGUGUGCACUGUGUUAUCUUUCAGGAGAAACACCCGUGGUCCACGCUGCUGCCAGGAAGAUGACAGCAAAGCAGACAGACGGCCACCUGGGUGGUGCUGCUCAGGAAGGUCCCAGAUCAGGCGAUCUCAACAGCUCCCUGGUGACACCUGGCAGGUAGGUCUCUGCUGGUGACAGCGGCAGGGCUGUGCUAUGUGGUAUCCAUGCUGAUCAGCGGCCCUGGCCUCUGCGGCUGGGUGCUCAGUUGCACGCUCUCCUAAGCUGGUGCAGCCAAAAGUGUCCCCAGGCUCUGCCAGAUGCCCCUGGCGCCCUGAGUUAGACAGACAUGGAGCUUUGAAUGGAACCAAGCACCAUGACAGGAAUGAAGCUCGGUGGAGAGGAGGGGCUUGGGGAAGCUCUUGCUCGGGGACACAGCCGGCUGCCCUGCCCCAUCUUUGGUGACUUGAAUGGAACUGAUCUUUGUCCCGAAACUCCCGCCCAGUCUGGUGGUGCUGGUGGGUGUCUGGAUGGCACAGCCCUGCUGCAGAGCAGCCCGUGAGCGUGGGUAGAGGGGACUCCAAGCAUGGACACGCACCCCAGCAGCCAGCUGUGCACACGGCUGUGCAGCGGUGCUAUUUGUAAACCAACGCUGGGCACUGAGCAAAUGCCAUGCAGCUGGCUGUGCAGGCUCCUUGGAGCACACCGGAGGGGAUAGGCGGCCCUCAGGGUCCCCUGGGUGGGUUCCAGGACCCUGGGUGCCAACGUUUCGGGAACAGUAAGAGUAAGUCUACAAAUAUUCAGUACAGGCACAAGGUUUGAAAAUAUUCUGGAUCCAUGGUUGGUCCAGUCUAUGGCUGCAGAUUCCUCAGCUACAGGGGGCAGGUGGAGCCGUGCAGCUGACCUGUGCUGAGCAGAGAGACCCCAUGACUCAGGAGAGCACAGAGGGCCAAGGGGCCCAGGGGCAACAGUGUCUGUGUGAGUCGGGGACAGGGGAGUGGGAGUCGCCAAAUACCAGAGGGGACAAAAGUGGAUAGAGAGAGAAGGAAAAGCCUUGAUGCUGUUUGCAAGGCCCUGAACGCAGCCCUGCCUCGAGCUCCCCUCAGAAUGCUGUGACAAAGACCCAGGCUCCAGCUCUCGGACAGCCGAGCUCAGUCGAGGGACAGGCUACUUGCCCGGAACCGGACUGUGCCGGAGGAGCUG